Molecule: ribosomal RNA, 486 nt
Filed under: uncultured bacterium
Lineage: Bacteria
Description: bacterial SSU rRNA
Rfam family: Bacterial small subunit ribosomal RNA
Source: RNAcentral
AUUGAACGCUGGCGGCAUGCCUUACACAUGCAAGUCGAACGGCAGCGGACCUUCGGGUGCCGGCGAGUGGCGAACGGGUGAGUAAUAUAUCGGAACGUACCUUUCAGUGGGGGAUAACGUAGCGAAAGUUACGCUAAUACCGCAUAUUCUGUGAGCAGGAAAGCAGGGGAUCGCAAGACCUUGCGCUGAUUGAGCGGCCGAUAUCAGAUUAGCUAGUUGGUGAGGUAAAGGCUCACCAAGGCGACGAUCUGUAGCGGGUCUGAGAGGAUGAUCCGCCACACUGGAACUGAGACACGGUCCAGACUCCUACGGGAGGCAGCAGUGGGGAAUUUUGGACAAUGGGCGAAAGCCUGAUCCAGCCAUGCCGCGUGUGUGAAGAAGGCCUUAGGGUUGUAAAGCACUUUAAGCGAGGAGGAAGGUUCGUCACCUAAUACGUGGCGGAAUUGACGUUACUCGCAGAAUAAGCACCGGCUAACUCUGUGCCAG